Molecule: ribosomal RNA, 409 nt
Filed under: Poeciloneta variegata
Lineage: Eukaryota; Metazoa; Arthropoda; Arachnida; Araneae; Linyphiidae
Description: partial 16S ribosomal RNA
Source: RNAcentral
AUAACUAUAAAUAAAAUCUGCUCAAUGUUUUUAAAUAGCCGCAGAAUUUUAACUGUGCUAAGGUAGCAUAAUCAUUUACCUUUUAAUUAAAGGUUUGUAUGAACGAUUUAACAAUUAAAUUACUUUUUUAUCAAUAAAAAUUUAAUUUAAACUAAGAAUAAAAAUGUUCUUAUUUUUAAAAAAGACGAUAAGACCCUAUUGAACUUUACUAAAGUUAAGCUGGGGAAGCUAAUUAAAUAUUAUUUUAAUUUAUUAACUUAAAUAUAUUUCUAAUAUAAUUAAAUAAAAUAAGUUACCAUAGGGAUAACAGCGUAAUAAUUUUUAAAAGUUCUUAUUAAAAAAAAUGGUUACGACCUCGAUGUUGAAUUAAAAUUACUUUAAAUCGCAAUGGAAUUAAAAGUAGGUCUGU